RNAcentral lists this ribosomal RNA (115 nucleotides) under Phascolarctos cinereus (koala). Lineage: Eukaryota; Metazoa; Chordata; Mammalia; Diprotodontia; Phascolarctidae. The record is from RNAcentral.
GCCUGCACAUGCCUGAUCUCGUCUCAAGACCAUGUCUCAUCUUGGAAGCAAAGCAGGGUCAGGCCUGGUUAGUACCUGGAUGAGAGAUCGCCUGGAAAUACCAGGUGUGUAGGCU